RNAcentral lists this long non-coding RNA (347 nucleotides) under Cricetulus griseus (Chinese hamster). Its description in RNAcentral is "lncRNA (ENSCGRG00015042639.1)". The record is from RNAcentral. Lineage: Eukaryota; Metazoa; Chordata; Mammalia; Rodentia; Cricetidae.
GGAAUCUUAUAAACCUGCCUGAGGCAGUGCUAGCUCUACACUUUACCCAGGAAAUCCUGUCAGUGGGAAGUGGGCUUCAACAGCACACUGUACAGAGGGGAAACUGAGGCUUGGCCUGUGAAGGCAAAGUAAGUUAUGCUGGAGUCAAACCUGGGACCUUAUUCAUGCUGGGCAAGUGCUCCACCACCAAGCUAUAUUCCCAGAGCCCCAUUUUAUAGAAAACACACACACACACACACAGAGAGAGAGAGAGAGAGAGAGAGAGAGAGAGAGAGAGAGAGAGAGAGAGAGAGAUUUACUACAAGCCAAGUCUUGCCUGGUGGUGGUGGUGCACGCCUUUAUCCCAG